Molecule: microRNA precursor, 113 nt
Organism: Medicago truncatula (barrel medic)
Lineage: Eukaryota; Viridiplantae; Streptophyta; Magnoliopsida; Fabales; Fabaceae
Rfam family: MIR2593 microRNA precursor family
Source: Rfam
AUAUAAGCAAAAUUGACUUUUUAGGUUCAUUCAAUGAAUGAUGUAUUUGGUCUAUAAUAUGAACCACAUACAUCAUUAAUUGAAUGAACCUAAAAAGUCAAUUUUGCUUAUAU